GAUUGUCAAUAUGAAGAAUGAGAAAAUUCAAUUUUACUCCUGGAAUAUACACUUUCUGAUUGUUGGAAGAGGGUAUCAUAUUUAAAGUUCCCAAGGUGGAUUCACCCUAACGGUGCACACAGAAGAAUCACUUUAAUUGCUGGGCUAGAUUUGGAGAACAUGUAGCCAAGAAUCUUCUUCUUUUUGUUGAGGUUGAAAACCAUUUCUGCAUCUCAUCCUGUGUGAUUCGUUUCAAUAUUCUUCCAUCAAGUCCAUAUAGAUGAUCUAUCUAAACUAUUGAAGUGUUUCCUCUAUAUUUUUAUUUUUUCUGUUUGUUAUAUUUUGUUACAACAUGAGCAGACCAACUUUUUAGUCAUAUAUGUCUGACACUGUCUGCAUUUAAGAAAACCUUAUUGAUUGAUCUAUGUAAUAGACAGACUUUGAUUGUCUUUGAUAUCAAGAUGGGUCAAAUUUUCUUCUGGCUUAUUUUCCUUCUGCUCUUUUUCAUUGUUUUCUGAAGCCUAAAGGUUACUUGUUCUUCAUCACCUAAUUCUAAAUUUGUUCAAAAUAAACUAUUUUAAAUCAGCU
Molecule: long non-coding RNA, 567 nt
Organism: Sarcophilus harrisii (Tasmanian devil)
Lineage: Eukaryota; Metazoa; Chordata; Mammalia; Dasyuromorphia; Dasyuridae
Exons: 3
Source: RefSeq, a predicted model, not a curated record